Molecule: long non-coding RNA, 448 nt
Organism: Hypanus sabinus (Atlantic stingray)
Lineage: Eukaryota; Metazoa; Chordata; Chondrichthyes; Myliobatiformes; Dasyatidae
Exons: 3
Source: RefSeq, a predicted model, not a curated record
GAGGGAACUGGGCUUGUAUGGAGUGAUGUCCUCGAAUGUAAGUGUAAUGAAUCAAGCUUAUCGGACUGUGCCAUGUCUUCAGCCACUCAUCGUUGCAACAACAGAAGGGACGUUAUUGUGAUCUGUUCUGGUAUGACCCCUCUGUCCGUCAACUAGACCGUUCUUCUGUGGUGGACUCGUCACGCUGGCAUGAGUGGACACACGCACACAAGCUCCCACCGACCCUGCUAUAACACUGGAAACACGGACCACGACUGGUGCAUGGAAAGGACAGAUGCUCUGGCCGAGUGGAAAUUCUACACGGAGAGCAGUGGGGAACAAUCUGCGAUGUAUACUUCACCUUGGAAGAUGCUGCCGUAGUCUGUGAACAUCUAAAGUGUGGUGCAGUUACUGCGGGCCUUGGAGGUGCGCACUUUGGUGAAGGAAAAGGUCCUGUAUGGAAAGAACG